This 429-nucleotide ribosomal RNA is filed under the name Chloroflexota bacterium. Its description in RNAcentral is "Chloroflexi bacterium partial 16S ribosomal RNA". It matches the Rfam family "Bacterial small subunit ribosomal RNA", at positions 355 to 776 of the family's 1533-position model. Lineage: Bacteria; Bacillati; Chloroflexota. The record is from RNAcentral.
UGGGGAAUAUUGCACAAUGGGCGCAAGCCUGAUGCAGCCAUGCCGCGUGUAUGAAGAAGGCCUUCGGGUUGUAAAGUACUUUCAGUCGGGAGGAAGGUGGUAAGGUUAAUAACCUUAUCAAUUGACGUUACCGACAGAAGAAGCACCGGCUAACUCCGUGCCAGCAGCCGCGGUAAUACGGAGGGUGCAAGCGUUAAUCGGAAUUACUGGGCGUAAAGCGCACGCAGGCGGUUGAUUGAGUCAGAUGUGAAAUCCCCGGGCUUAACCCGGGAAUUGCAUCUGAUACUGGUCAGCUAGAGUCUUGUAGAGGGGGGUAGAAUUCCAUGAGUAGCGGUGAAAUGCGUAGAGAUGUGGAGGAAUACCGGUGGCGAAGGCGGCCCCCUGGACAAAGACUGACGCUCAGGUGCGAAAGCGUGGGGAGCAAACAGG